GAGGGGAUAGCUCAGUGGUAGAGUGUGCACAUAGCAUGCGUGACGUCCUGGGUUCAAUUCCUCGUACCUUCA
This 72-nucleotide transfer RNA is filed under the name Camelus bactrianus (Bactrian camel). It matches the Rfam family "tRNA". From Rfam's summary of the family: Transfer RNA (tRNA) molecules are approximately 80 nucleotides in length. Their secondary structure includes four short double-helical elements and three loops (D, anti-codon, and T loops). Further hydrogen bonds mediate the characteristic L-shaped molecular structure. tRNAs have two regions of fundamental functional importance: the anti-codon, which is responsible for specific mRNA codon recognition, and the 3' end, to which the tRNAs corresponding amino acid is attached (by aminoacyl-tRNA synthetases). tRNAs cope with the degeneracy of the genetic code in two manners: having more than one tRNA (with a specific anti-codon) for a particular amino acid; and 'wobble' base-pairing, i.e. permitting non-standard base-pairing at the 3rd anti-codon position. The record is from Rfam by way of RNAcentral. Lineage: Eukaryota; Metazoa; Chordata; Mammalia; Artiodactyla; Camelidae. RNAcentral also lists the same sequence under 1 other name.